UUCAACUACUAUAUCUUCAGGAGGUACAAAGGGUGGUGGGCAAGGCAUAACUACAUCCUCUCUGCAGCUCUUGAUGCAGGCACAGCGAUUAUGGGAGUGUUGAUCUACUUUACGUUGCAGAACAAUAACAUAAGCUUACCAGAUUGGUGGGGGAAUGAGAACACAGACCAUUGCCCUUUGGCAAAUUGCCCGACAGAGAAAGGGAUCGUCGCUAAGGGCUGCCCGGUGUUCUAAAACCUUGUUGCAGUUCAACAUUUUCUCUGGAGUUUCUCAGACCUGCAGGUGAAAGACUGUUACUGCCAAGUGGUUUGGUUGCCAUAAUAAUAUUGUGUAAAGACUCUGUGAGAGUUUUAAGUGAUAAUGUAAAAAAUGAUUUGCAAAUGAAGAACAGCUAAAUAUGAUAGCAAGUUCAGUCAAAGAGAGAACUUGAAUAUAAAAGGUAAACUAAAGCUCAUUAGUGAAUAAUUUCAGGACAAGCAAAACAAAGGCUAAACGUUCCAUCUCUUGCUAAUUGAAUUCCUAAAGGACACAGCUCUGUUAACAGCUGCUGUAAAAUGCUUCCCUGCUUGUCAAUUCCAUGCAAUCAAGACAUAAAUUUGCCAUCUUCUAAUGAACUCAGGAAAACUCCUAAAUUGUGCAAUUUAAUGUACAUGUCAAACGCAAUCAGAUCCUAAGCUUCAUAGUUGGGUUUUUCAAACCUUUAAAAUCAUGAUGAGAGAGAUCUCCAGAGGAGACAAGAGAUAGAGGACAAGCUUUAUGUACGCAUGCUGAGAGAUCUCAGACCUGAGCUCGCCAUUAUUU
This 801-nucleotide long non-coding RNA is filed under the name Arabidopsis lyrata. Its description in RNAcentral is "long non-coding RNA (ALYR_LNC000808)". Lineage: Eukaryota; Viridiplantae; Streptophyta; Magnoliopsida; Brassicales; Brassicaceae. The record is from RNAcentral.